GUAGGUGGCAAGCGUUGUCCGGAAUUAUUGGGCGUAAAGCGCGCGCAGGCGGUUCUUUAAGCCUGAUGUGAAAGCCCACGGGCUCAACCGUGGAGGGUCAUUGGAAACUGGAGAACUUGAGUACAGAAGAGGAAAGCGGAAUUCCACGUGUAGCGGUGAAAUGCGUAGAGAUGUGGAGGAACACCAGUGGCGAAGGCGGCUUUCUGGUCUGUAACUGACGCUGAGGCGCGAAAGCGUGGGGAGCAAACAGGAUUAGAUACCCUGGUAGUCCACGCCGUAAACGAUGAGUGCUAAGUGUUAGGGGGUUUCCGCCCCUUAGUGCUGCAGCUAACGCAUUAAGCACUCCGCCUGGGGAGUACGACCGCAAGGUUG
Molecule: ribosomal RNA, 372 nt
Filed under: uncultured organism
Description: partial 16S ribosomal RNA
Rfam family: Bacterial small subunit ribosomal RNA
Source: RNAcentral